Molecule: transfer RNA, 72 nt
Filed under: Myotis davidii
Lineage: Eukaryota; Metazoa; Chordata; Mammalia; Chiroptera; Vespertilionidae
Rfam family: tRNA
About the family: Transfer RNA (tRNA) molecules are approximately 80 nucleotides in length. Their secondary structure includes four short double-helical elements and three loops (D, anti-codon, and T loops).
Source: Rfam by way of RNAcentral
GCCAGUGUGGCUCAGUGGUACAGCAUCAGCCCUGGAGCUGAAGGGUCUCAGGUUCAAUUCCAGUCAAGGGCA